AACGGACGCUGGCGGCAUGCCUAACACAUGCAAGUCGAACGAGACCUUCGGGUCUAGUGGCGCACGGGUGCGUAACGCGUGGGAAUCUGCCCUUCGGUUGGGAAUAACUGAGAGAAAUUUCAGCUAAUACCUUAUAAUGUCUUCGGACCAAAGAUUUAUCGCCGAGGGAUGAGCCCGCGUAGGAUUAGGUAGUUGGUGGGGUAAUGGCCUACCAAGCCGACGAUCCUUAGCUGGUCUGAGAGGAUGAUCAGCCACACUGGGACUGAGACACGGCCCAGACUCCUACGGGAGGCAGCAGUGGGGAAUAUUGGACAAUGGGCGAAAGCCUGAUCCAGCAAUGCCGCGUGAGUGAUGAAGGCCUUAGGGUUGUAAAGCUCUUUUACCCGGGAUGAUAAUGACAGUACCGGGAGAAUAAGCGCCGGCUAACUCCGUG
This 433-nucleotide ribosomal RNA is filed under the name uncultured bacterium. Its description in RNAcentral is "partial 16S ribosomal RNA". It matches the Rfam family "Bacterial small subunit ribosomal RNA", at positions 29 to 507 of the family's 1533-position model. The record is from RNAcentral.